Molecule: ribosomal RNA, 468 nt
Filed under: uncultured bacterium
Lineage: Bacteria
Description: partial 16S ribosomal RNA
Rfam family: Bacterial small subunit ribosomal RNA
Source: RNAcentral
GACGAACGCUGGCGGCGUGCUUAACACAUGCAAGUCGAACGGAAAGGCCCUGCUUUUGUGGGGUUCUCGAGUGGCGAACGGGUGAGUAACACGUGAGUAACCUGCCCUUGACUUUGUGAUAACUUCAGGAAACUGGGGCUAAUACCGGAUAGAAGCUCCUGCUGCAUGGUGGGGUUUGGAAAGUUUCGGCGGUUGGGUAUGUACUCGCGGCUUAUCAGCUUGUUUGGGAGGUAGUUGCUUACCAAGGCUUUGACGGGUAGCCGGCAUGGGAGGGUGACCGGCCACAUUGGGACUGAGAUACGGACCAGACUCCUACGGGAGGCAGCAGUGGGGAAUAUUGCACAAUGGGCGGAAGCCUGAUGCAGCAACGCCGCGUGCGGGAUGACGGCCUUCGGGUUGUAAACAGCUUUCGCAUGUGACGAAGCGUGAGUGACGGUAAUGGGUAAAGAAGCAACGGCUAACUACGUG